GUAGGAUGCGAGCGUUAUCCGGAUUUAUUGGGUUUAAAGGGUGCGUAGGCGGUUCGUUAAGUCAGCGGUAAAAUUGCGGGGCUCAACCCCGGCCUGCCGUUGAAACUGGCGGCCUCGAGUGGGCGAGAAGUAUGCGGAAUGCGUGGUGUAGCGGUGAAAUGCAUAGAUAUCACGCAGAACUCCGAUUGCGAAGGCAGCAUACCGGCGCCCUACUGACGCUGAGGCACGAAAGCGUGGGUAUCGAA
RNAcentral lists this ribosomal RNA (245 nucleotides) under uncultured bacterium. RNAcentral's name for it is "partial 16S ribosomal RNA". It matches the Rfam family "Bacterial small subunit ribosomal RNA", at positions 527 to 772 of the family's 1533-position model. The record is from RNAcentral.